UAGAGUUUGAUCCUGGCUCAGGACGAACGCUGGCGGCGUGCUUAACACAUGCAAGUCGAGCGGUAAGGCCCUUCGGGGUACACGAGCGGCGAACGGGUGAGUAACACGUGGGUGACCUGCCCCCAACUCUGGGAUAAGCCCGGGAAACUGGGUCUAAUACCGGAUAUGACCUCUCAUCGCAUGGUGGGUGGUGGAAAGUUUUUCGGUUGGGGAUGGGCCCGCGGCCUAUCAGCUUGUUGGUGGGGUGAUGGCCUACCAAGGCGACGACGGGUAGCCGGCCUGAGAGGGCGACCGGCCACACUGGGACUGAGACACGGCCCAGACUCCUACGGGAGGCAGCAGUGGGGAAUAUUGCGCAAUGGGCGGAAGCCUGACGCAGCGACGCCGCGUGGGGGAUGACGGCCUUCGGGUUGUAAACCUCUUUCGCCAGGGACGAAGCGUGAGUGACGGUACCUGGAUAAGAAGCACCGGCCAACUACGUGCCAGCAGCCGCGGUAAUACGUAGGGUGCGAGCGUUGUCCGGAAUUAUUGGGCGUAAAGAGCUCGUAGGCGGUCUGUCGCGUCGGUCGUGAAAACUUGGGGCUUAACCCUGAGCUUGCGGUCGAUACGGGCAUGACUGGAGUUCGGCAGGGGAGACUGGAAUUCCUGGUGUAGCGGUGAAAUGCGCAGAUAUCAGGAGGAACACCGGUGGCGAAGGCGGGUCUCUGGGCCGAUACUGACGCUGAGGAGCGAAAGCGUGGGGAGCGAACAGGAUUAGAUACCCUGGUAGUCCACGCCGU
This 779-nucleotide ribosomal RNA is filed under the name uncultured bacterium. RNAcentral's name for it is "bacterial SSU rRNA". It matches the Rfam family "Bacterial small subunit ribosomal RNA", at positions 1 to 803 of the family's 1533-position model. The record is from RNAcentral.